AUUCAGGGAAACCUAGGAAAAAUCCGUUGGUCUUUGCAAGACCGUGAGGGUUCAAGUCCCUCUAUCCCC
Molecule: transfer RNA, 69 nt
Filed under: Anemia phyllitidis
Lineage: Eukaryota; Viridiplantae; Streptophyta; Polypodiopsida; Schizaeales; Anemiaceae
Description: partial tRNA-Leu
Source: RNAcentral